This 137-nucleotide non-coding RNA is filed under the name unclassified sequences. Its description in RNAcentral is "Polynucleobacter-1 RNA". It matches the Rfam family "Polynucleobacter-1 RNA". RNAcentral also lists the same sequence under 1 other name. The record is from RNAcentral.
GGCUAGCACAGGCUAAAAUCGUGUGCGUUGGACCUGACUCUAUGGAGGACAGGGAUGCAAGACUCUGCGCUGUACAGAGCACUCAACUACUAUCCUUAACAGGACGAAGAUCGCAAAUGGCCGCGGUUUAGUUGUUU